This 477-nucleotide ribosomal RNA is filed under the name uncultured bacterium. Its description in RNAcentral is "partial 16S ribosomal RNA". It matches the Rfam family "Bacterial small subunit ribosomal RNA", at positions 30 to 507 of the family's 1533-position model. The record is from RNAcentral.
AUUGAACGCUGGCGGCAUGCCUUACACAUGCAAGUCGAACGGUAACAGGUUAAGCUGACGAGUGGCGAACGGGUGAGUAAUGUAUCGGAACGUGCCCAGUCGUGGGGGAUAACUGCUCGAAAGAGCAGCUAAUACCGCAUACGACCUGAGGGUGAAAGCGGGGGAUCGCAAGACCUCGCGCGAUUGGAGCGGCCGAUAUCAGAUUAGGUAGUUGGUGAGGUAAAGGCUCACCAAGCCGACGAUCUGUAGCUGGUCUGAGAGGACGACCAGCCACACUGGGACUGAGACACGGCCCAGACUCCUAAGGGAGGCAGCAGUGGGGAAUUUUGGACAAUGGGCGCAAGCCUGAUCCAGCCAUGCCGCGUGCGGGAAGAAGGCCUUCGGGUUGUAAACCGCUUUUGUCAGGGAAGAAAAGGUUCUGGCUAAUACCUGGGACUCAUGACGGUACCUGAAGAAUAAGCACCGGCUAACUACGUG